GUCUAUGGCCAUGCCACUCUGAACAAGCUCGAUGUCUGGUUUCAGAAGCUAAGCAGAGUUGGGCCUGGUUAGUACUUGGAUGAGAGACCACCUAAGAAGACCAGGUGCCGUAGGCA
RNAcentral lists this ribosomal RNA (116 nucleotides) under Pteropus alecto (black flying fox). Lineage: Eukaryota; Metazoa; Chordata; Mammalia; Chiroptera; Pteropodidae. The record is from RNAcentral.